Lupinus albus (white lupine) is the source of this 306-nucleotide non-coding RNA. The record is from the annotation of a GenBank genome assembly. Lineage: Eukaryota; Viridiplantae; Streptophyta; Magnoliopsida; Fabales; Fabaceae.
GCCGAGUUGGGUAACACCAGCUUGUAACCCAAGUGGGGGCGUCAAGGUGAUGGGACAGCUUCGUGGCUUGCUGGGUCAGAUUGAUCUGUGCAAUUUAGCUGGCUUGCCCACUCCAAGUUGAGAGUUGAGGCAUGGAACUUGAGCUAAGGCACAGGUUUCAUGACUCUUAGACCAGAGGGCACAGCGUGAGGCUGGCUUCACAGAGCAGCGACCACCUCUUGCUCCCAACAGUGGAGGGAUUACAGGCUGCUGUACUAUCAGUCCACCAUAGGCCUGGUGAACUUAGUUGCCUGGACCAUCACCUUU